UGAGUGACAGCAAGCCUCCUGGCCUCU
Molecule: non-coding RNA, 27 nt
Filed under: Rattus norvegicus (Norway rat)
Lineage: Eukaryota; Metazoa; Chordata; Mammalia; Rodentia; Muridae
Source: RNAcentral